This 253-nucleotide ribosomal RNA is filed under the name uncultured bacterium. RNAcentral describes it as "partial 16S ribosomal RNA". It matches the Rfam family "Bacterial small subunit ribosomal RNA", at positions 524 to 776 of the family's 1533-position model. The record is from RNAcentral.
UACGUAGGCAGCGAGCGUUGUUCGGAGUUACUGGGCGUAAAGGGUGUGUAGGCGGUCCUCUAAGUUUGGUGUGAAAUCUCCCGGCUCAACCGGGAGGGUGCGCCGAAAACUGGAGGGCUAGAGUGCGGGAAGGGAGAGUGGAAUUCCUGGUGUAGCGGUGAAAUGCGUAGAUAUCAGGAGGAACACCGGUGGUGUAGACGGCUCUCUGGACCGCGACUGACGCUGAGACACGAAAGCGUGGGUAGCAAACAGG